UGGGGAAUAUUGCACAAUGGAGGGAACUCUGAUGCAGCGACGCCGCGUGAGUGAUGAAGGAAUUCGUUUCGUAAAACUCUGUUCUAUGGGAAGAAAAGGACUGUACCAUAGGAGAAAGCUCCGGCUAAAUACGUGCCAGCAGCCGCGGUAAUACGUAUGGAGCGAGCGUUGUCCGGAAUUAUUGGGCGUAAAGGGUGCGCAGGCGGCUUUACAAGUUGGAUGUGAAAUAUUGUGGCUCAACCACAAACGUGCAUCCAAAACUGCAAAGCUUGAGUUAAGGAGAGGUAAGUGGAAUUCCUGGUGUAGCGGUGGAAUGCGUAGAUAUCAGGAGGAAUACCGGUGGCGAAGGCGACUUACUGGACUUUAACUGACGCUCAGGCACGAAAGCGUGGGGAGCAAACAGG
This 404-nucleotide ribosomal RNA is filed under the name Fusobacteriota bacterium. RNAcentral describes it as "Fusobacteria bacterium partial 16S ribosomal RNA". It matches the Rfam family "Bacterial small subunit ribosomal RNA", at positions 355 to 776 of the family's 1533-position model. Lineage: Bacteria; Fusobacteriati; Fusobacteriota. The record is from RNAcentral.